Molecule: long non-coding RNA, 365 nt
Filed under: Betula platyphylla (Asian white birch)
Lineage: Eukaryota; Viridiplantae; Streptophyta; Magnoliopsida; Fagales; Betulaceae
Source: RNAcentral
GCCGAUGAUAAUAUAAUUAAUAAUAAUAACUAAAAAAAUAUUGUAGCGUGCCCAUAACAUAGUCAGUGAGAGCCGCGGAUAAGCUUUUCUUUAUUAUUAUUUUUUUCUUUUGGCCAGUGGCAUGCCACUUGGGUGGCAGUCAACACUUUUCGCUUGUGACUCACCCAAGCAUGAUCAUCCUGAUCCCGGAUCGUGACCGUCUGGUUGUGGGAACGGAUUCCACACAUCAACGAUCAGCCAAAACGAUUAAUCCAAACAUUUUAUGGAGGUGCCUAGUGAUCGCAGAAGUAGCAGAAGUGGCAGCACCCUUCAUCGCCAUCUCUCUCACUCUCAAAUAUAUUUAGGAAGAAAGAAAAGGCUUUCAA